AGAGUUUGAUCCUGGCUCAGAUUGAACGCUGGCGGCAUGCUUUACACAUGCAAGUCGAACGGCAGCACGGGCUUCGGCCUGGUGGCGAGUGGCGAACGGGUGAGUAAUGCAUCGGAACGUACCGUGUAAUGGGGGAUAACGUAGCGAAAGUUACGCUAAUACCGCAUACGCCCUGAGGGGGAAAGCGGGGGAUCGUAAGACCUCGCGUUAUACGAGCGGCCGAUGUCGGAUUAGCUAGUUGGUGGGGUAAAGGCCUACCAAGGCGACGAUCCGUAGCGGGUCUGAGAGGAUGAUCCGCCACACUGGGACUGAGACACGGCCCAGACUCCUACGGGAGGCAGCAGUGGGGAAUUUUGGACAAUGGGCGCAAGCCUGAUCCAGCCAUGCCGCGUGAGUGAAGAAGGCCUUCGGGUUGUAAAGCUCUUUCAGACGGAAAGAAAUCGCGCGCUCUAACAUAGCGCGUGGAUGACGGUACCGUAAGAAGAAGCACCGGCUAACUACGUG
This 504-nucleotide ribosomal RNA is filed under the name uncultured bacterium. RNAcentral describes it as "bacterial SSU rRNA". It matches the Rfam family "Bacterial small subunit ribosomal RNA", at positions 8 to 507 of the family's 1533-position model. The record is from RNAcentral.